Molecule: long non-coding RNA, 687 nt
Organism: Lineus longissimus
Lineage: Eukaryota; Metazoa; Nemertea; Pilidiophora; Heteronemertea; Lineidae
Exons: 2
Source: RefSeq, a predicted model, not a curated record
ACCAAGACCUAAGACAUAAGACCUAAGACCUAAGAUCCCCCGGAGUACAAAACUAAGACCCAGGUACAAAACUAAGAUCCCCCGAGGUACAAAACUAAGACCCGGGGAGGCCAAUUCCAAACUAAAAUUUUGAAGAAAAAUAUCAGAGUCUUAGUUUUGUACAAAACUAAGACCCAAUUCCAAACUGAAAUUUUGAAGAAAAAUAUCAGAGUCUUAGUUUUGUACAUCAGGGGAUCUUAGUUUUGUACGUACAAAACUAAGAUCCCCCGAGGUACAAAACUAAGACCCAAUUCCAAACUGAAAUUUUGAAGAAAAAUAUCAGAGUCUUAGUUUUGUACAUCAGGGGAUCUUAGUUUCCAAAUUCUGCCCCUCUUUCGAAUUCAUUUUGAUGUAGUAAUGUCACCUUUGAGAUGCAUGCAGUUGCUCCAUCUGAAUAAUACCUCCAUAUGCACUAUGCAGGCACGACCGGUCAUCACUCUAGCAUAUACUCUAGCAUAUACGGCCUCCAUCCAGCUCCACAAAAAGUGGCGAAACCGGUGCAAUAUGCCAGUAGCACGUGGAUCAUGCCGAGCGGCGCUGUCAGGUGUUUCCACUAUGGGUUACAUAAUCGGCUACAAAGAGGCCAGUGUUCUAGUAAAUGAAGUUAGCAAUGAUAGCGAAGAAUGUUAGUGUAUGUUACGAAGUCAA